AGCCCUAGGAAAUAAUCUAGGGUGAAGCCUGCCCAAUGAUUUUUUUUUAAUGGCCGCAGUACUUUGACUGUGCUAAGGUAGCAUAAUCAAUUGGCUUUUAAUUGGAGUCUGGAAUGAAGGGAAAAACGGGAUUAAGCUGUCUCUAAAUUUUUAAUUUGAAGUUACUAAUUAGGUGAAAAGGCCUAAAAAAGAUAAAAGACGAGAAGACCCUUAGAGUUUUAAUAUAUUUUUGUUGGGGCGACGCAGAGUCAUUAAACACUCUGAAAAAAUAUGACGGAAGUUUCAUGAUUAGAUAAACUACCUGAGGGAUAACAGCAUAAUUUUAUUAAGUUUGUGACCUCGAUGUUGGACUAGGAAGCUCUUAGGCUAGCCGCCUAAGAAGGGGAUUCUGUUCGAAUUUUUACUCCU
RNAcentral lists this ribosomal RNA (408 nucleotides) under Mimatys sp. A TRO-2019. Its description in RNAcentral is "partial 16S large subunit ribosomal RNA". It matches the Rfam family "Archaeal large subunit ribosomal RNA", at positions 1909 to 2665 of the family's 2987-position model. Lineage: Eukaryota; Metazoa; Mollusca; Gastropoda; Cephalaspidea; Alacuppidae. The record is from RNAcentral.